AUUGAACGCUGGCGGCAUGCCUUACACAUGCAAGUCGAACGGUAACAGGUCUUCGGAUGCUGACGAGUGGCGAACGGGUGAGUAAUACAUCGGAACGUGCCUAGUAGUGGGGGAUAACUACUCGAAAGAGUGGCUAAUACCGCAUGAGCUCUACGGAUGAAAGCAGGGGAUCGCCAGACCUUGUGCUACUAGAGCGGCCGAUGGCAGAUUAGGUGGUUGGUGGGAUAAAAGCUUACCAAGCCGACGAUCUGUAGCUGGUCUGAGAGGACGAUCAGCCACACUGGGACUGAGACACGGCCCAGACUCCGACGGGAGGCAGCAGUUGGGAAUUUUGGACAAUGGGCGAAAGCCUGAUCCAGCAAUGCCGCGUGCAGGAUGAAGGCCUUCGGGUUGUAAACUGCUUUUGUACGGAGCGAAAAGCCCCGGGUUAAUACCCUGGGGUCAUGACGGUACCGUAAGAAUAAGCACCGGCUAACUACGUGCCAGCCGCCGCCGUAA
This 498-nucleotide ribosomal RNA is filed under the name uncultured bacterium. RNAcentral's name for it is "partial 16S ribosomal RNA". It matches the Rfam family "Bacterial small subunit ribosomal RNA", at positions 30 to 523 of the family's 1533-position model. The record is from RNAcentral.